GGAUGCUUACACAUGCAAGUCGAACGGGCAGCGCGGGAGCAUCCUGGCGGCGAGUGGCGAACGGGUGACGUAACUAUAUCGGAACGUGCCCUGUAGCGGGGUGAUAACUACUCGAAAGAUGGACUAAUACCGCAUACGCUCUACGGAGGAAAGCGGGGGUCGCAAGACCUCGCACUAUAGGAGCGGCCGAUAUCGGAUUAGCUAGUUGGCGGGGUAAAAGCCCACCAAGGCUACGAUCCGUAGCUGGUCUGAGAGGAUGAUCAGCCACACUGGAACUGAGACACGGUCCAGACUCCUACGGGCAGGCAGCAGUGCCGGAAUUUUGGACAACUGGGCGCAAGCCUGAUCCAGCCAUGCCGCGUGAC
RNAcentral lists this ribosomal RNA (365 nucleotides) under uncultured bacterium. RNAcentral describes it as "bacterial SSU rRNA". It matches the Rfam family "Bacterial small subunit ribosomal RNA", at positions 45 to 405 of the family's 1533-position model. The record is from RNAcentral.